This 74-nucleotide transfer RNA is filed under the name Mycobacterium paraseoulense. RNAcentral's name for it is "tRNA-Val". Lineage: Bacteria; Bacillati; Actinomycetota; Actinomycetes; Mycobacteriales; Mycobacteriaceae. The record is from RNAcentral.
CUCCGGGAUGGUCUGGCGCAGCUGCUCGACCAGUUCACGGCUGGGCGCGACCGGUUCCAGGUCGGGCUCGGGGA